This 442-nucleotide ribosomal RNA is filed under the name uncultured bacterium. RNAcentral describes it as "bacterial SSU rRNA". It matches the Rfam family "Bacterial small subunit ribosomal RNA", at positions 958 to 1400 of the family's 1533-position model. The record is from RNAcentral.
AACGCGAAGAACCUUACCCAGACUUGACAUGCAGUGGACGAUAGCAGAAAUGUUAUUUCCCUUCGGGGCCGCUGCACAGGUGCUGCAUGGCUGUCGUCAGCUCGUGCCGUGAGGUGUUGGGUUAAGUCCCGCAACGAGCGCAACCCUUAUUGUUAGUUGCCAACACGUAAUGGUGGGAACUCUAGCAAGACUGCCUGGGUUAACCAGGAGGAAGGUGAGGAUGACGUCAAGUCCGCAUGGCCCUUAUGUCUGGGGCUACACACGUGCUACAAUGGCCGGUACAGAAGGAAGCUAAUCCGCGAGGUAGAGCAAAUCCGUAAAGCCGGCCCCAGUUCAGAUUGUAGUCUGCAACUCGACUACAUGAAGAUGGAAUUGCUAGUAAUGGCGAGUCAGCAACAUCGCCGUGAAUACGUUCCCGGGCCUUGUACACACCGCACUACUA